Molecule: ribosomal RNA, 497 nt
Filed under: uncultured bacterium
Lineage: Bacteria
Description: partial 16S ribosomal RNA
Rfam family: Bacterial small subunit ribosomal RNA
Source: RNAcentral
GAUGAACGCUGGCGGCGUGCCUAAUACAUGCAAGUCGAGCGAACAGACGAGGAGCUUGCUCCUCUGACGUUAGCGGCGGACGGGUGAGUAACACGUGGAUAACCUACCUAUAAGACUGGGAUAACUUCGGGAAACCGGAGCUAAUACCGGAUAAUAUAUUGAACCGCAUGGUUCAAUAGUGAAAGACGGUUUUGCUGUCACUUAUAGAUGGAUCCGCGCCGCAUUAGCUAGUUGGUAAGGUAACGGCUUACCAAGGCAACGAUGCGUAGCCGACCUGAGAGGGUGAUCGGCCACACUGGAACUGAGACACGGUCCAGACUCCUACGGGAGGCAGCAGUAGGGAAUCUUCCGCAAUGGGCGAAAGCCUGACGGAGCAACGCCGCGUGAGUGAUGAAGAUCUUCGGAUCGUAAAACUCUGUUAUUAGGGAAGAACAAAUGUGUAAGUAACUAUGCACGUCUUGACGGUACCUAAUCAGAAAGCCACGGCUAACUACUUG